Molecule: long non-coding RNA, 947 nt
Organism: Dendroctonus ponderosae (mountain pine beetle)
Lineage: Eukaryota; Metazoa; Arthropoda; Insecta; Coleoptera; Curculionidae
Exons: 2
Source: RefSeq, a predicted model, not a curated record
AUUCAUGCGGAGUUUUCCAUCAUUUUUUCGUGAUUUUCAACCCAUCUUAUUUCGAUCCAGCAGACUAUCCAUAAAUCGUCGUUUAUCGAGUUUGCAAAAAACCGGCAAUUCACUUUCCUUGUCUCGCUCGCGCCACGCGUUUCUUUGGUGCAUUGUUUCGAUGGCAGUAGGCGGCGUUACGCUGCGAAGACGCCCGAAGCAAUCGCGAAGUUGCUUUUGCCUCGUUUCGACAAUGCUGCCACAGUCGGCAAUCGCGGUCCCUGCUACGAGUAGCAAGCGAUGUUUUCCGGGCGUUGAAAAAACCGCACAAGACAUCGGCCCAGAUAUAAGCAAAAAAAGUUUCUCUUUUUACCGCGUGCUGAGUGUGAAAGGGCUUUUUGUGCGUCAAUAUACCCCGUUUUUGUGCAUCGGCAAAUAAUGGAUCGUUUCUUGCGACUUAAAAGUGUCAAUGCGUCCGGCAGUUAAGUGAUUUUGCCUGUGGAAAAGCUGCAGUUGAACGCCUGCUGACUUUUGCUACCAACCCAGACAUUCCAAAACUUGUUCCUCGGCCUUCAGUACCCUAAAGUACAAAUUGGUCGUAGCACCUGUAUUUAGAUAUUAAUCCUGCAAGUUUUGCGAUUUUACCAUUGUGGAAUUUGAAUAACGUUGCCAAAAAUUCAAGAAAAACCUCGAGAAUAUCCUUACAGCUGAUAAAAGAAACGACCAAAUCUAGGCAGGUGAUAAGAAAGGAGUUUCAUCAAAUUCUGCAGGAGUAAGAUCGACGGCCGUAGCCGGUCGUUUACGGCUCUCAACUUCGGGGUGCUUAACUGAUUUGUUUGUGCGUUUUGGAUUUUAGUUUUUGUCAAAGUGAGUGACAAAAGUAGAGACCAAGAUGAAUAUGUAUCCGUGGUAUCGAGACUCAGUAGGUGGUCAUCAGCUGAGCCAAAUUUGUGCCCCCAUGGCGACAG